GAUGAACGCUAGCUACAGGCUUAACACAUGCAAGUCGAGGGGUAACGAGAGGAAAGCUUGCUUUCCUUGUCGACGACCGGCGCACGGGUGAGUAACGCGUAUCCAACCUGCCCCCAACUAGGGAAUAACCUUGCGAAAGUAAGACUAAUACCCUAUAAUUUCCUCAGAUGUCAUCUGACGAGGAAUAAAGAUUUAUCGGUUGUGGAGGGGGAUGCGUCUGAUUAGCUUGUUGGCGGGGUAACGGCCCACCAAGGCAACGAUCAGUAGGGGUUCUGAGAGGAAGGUCCCCCACAUUGGAACUGAGACACGGUCCAAACUCCUACGGGAGGCAGCAGUGAGGAAUAUUGGUCAAUGGGCGGAAGCCCGAACCAGCCAAGUAGCGUGCAGGAUGACGGCCCUAUGGGUUGUAAACUGCUUUUAUACAGGAAUAAAGUUAGCCACGUGUGGUUAUUUGUAGGUACUGUAUGAAUAAGGACCGGCUAAUUCCGUGCCAGCAGCCGCUGUAA
Molecule: ribosomal RNA, 506 nt
Filed under: uncultured bacterium
Lineage: Bacteria
Description: partial 16S ribosomal RNA
Rfam family: Bacterial small subunit ribosomal RNA
Source: RNAcentral